Molecule: unclassified non-coding RNA, 324 nt
Filed under: Hevea brasiliensis (rubber tree)
Lineage: Eukaryota; Viridiplantae; Streptophyta; Magnoliopsida; Malpighiales; Euphorbiaceae
Source: RNAcentral
AAUUCAAAAAUGAAUGCUAAAUAGGCUAAUAAACUUUAACUUAAUACAUGCUUUGAAAUAUUUAAGCUUUACCUGAAUUAAUUGCUCCCAAACCUCCAUUGUAGCUUCAAACAUCUUUGUUAGAGGAUUCCAAACAAAGCCACUAGGACCAUGAAAUAAAUCUUUGCACUCAACAAAGGUUCAUUUUAUUGUCUUCAUUCGAUUUUUAAUGUUUGAUUUUUGAAUAUGUGGACCAAAGGAGUUCCUUAACACCUUUAAUAUAUUAUCAAAAGCUCUAGAAUUCCAUGUUCCAUCAAGCCAAUUCCCUUUAUGUUCUUCUUCCAA